Long non-coding RNA from Mus musculus (house mouse), 219 nucleotides. RefSeq annotates it as predicted gene, 41242. The record is from RefSeq and is a predicted model, not a curated record. Lineage: Eukaryota; Metazoa; Chordata; Mammalia; Rodentia; Muridae. The transcript is spliced from 3 exons.
UCCAUGAGUACAUAUGAAAAUGGAGACUCACCAGGACCAGCUGCAGGGAUACAGAAUAGCAUUACACGAGCAAAUUCAAGCGUAAACACAGUAUUAGCAAUCAUAUUUCCUGUGCAUGCAUCAAGUAUCAAGAACUCAUUUUGUUAUGACUGUUCUAUUGAAUAUAUCAAGAGAUCAUGGAAACUAAGAACUGAAGGCAAUUCUUUAUUCCAACUCCCA